Molecule: ribosomal RNA, 253 nt
Filed under: uncultured bacterium
Lineage: Bacteria
Description: partial 16S ribosomal RNA
Rfam family: Bacterial small subunit ribosomal RNA
Source: RNAcentral
GACAGAGGUGCCAAGCGUUAGGCGGAAUCACUGGGCUUAAAGCGUGUGUAGGCGGAUGUCUAAGUACCUUGUGAAAUGCCGCGGCUCAACCGUGGAACUGCCUCAGAUACUGUCGGCCUCGAGGGAGGUAGGGGCGUGCGGAACUGUAGGUGGAGCGGUGAAAUGCGUUGAUAUCUACAGGAACUCCGGUGGCGAAAGCGGCGCGCUGGACCUCUUCUGACGCUGAGGCGCGAAAGCUAGGGGAGCAAACGGG